This is a long non-coding RNA of Centrocercus urophasianus (Greater sage-grouse), 1667 nucleotides long. RefSeq lists it as uncharacterized. The transcript has 4 exons. The record is from RefSeq and is a predicted model, not a curated record. Lineage: Eukaryota; Metazoa; Chordata; Aves; Galliformes; Phasianidae.
CAUUCAGUGCAGAUGCCCAGUGGUGUGUGGCUUCUGGAAGACUUUCACAGUCAUAAUUAGCUGCCCUGGAUAUCAAACAUAACUACCCAAGCUACUGCUCUGCUGUAUGUCCAAACCACCCACAGCAAGAGCCUCUGCACCAGGAUCAAGUCUGCAGCACAAAGCAGUGCACAAACAAAGGACAUAAUAUGUUAUAAAUCCAGUGUCAAGGAAAUACUGGCAAAAGGAUGAACCAAAAGUAACACAAGCACUGCUGCAACUGAGGAGCUUAGCAGGAAGGAGAACUACUAGCAAGGAUGGCAGUAAGUACAGCAGACACCAUACUGGACAAAUCAUCAGGAAUCCACUGGUUCCCACCAGUUAGACCCUGGCAGCUCAGCAAACCAAAAAAGUCUGGAAAACUGAAGAGAGACAGAGCCUGCAGUGAAACAAAUGGAUGCCUCAAAAGCUCCACAAAUACAGGACUCAAAGUGUAACAGCAAUUUUCCUCCUAUUGUGCAUUGUCUAAGAAUUCCCUUCAAAGUGAAAAUUUUAUGGAAGAUGAAAAGAGAAACAUCAGAAGGCUUAAGUACAAAUUUCCUGUCCUCUCUCUUACCUACACUUACUUAUUUGUAGACUAUGGCUAAAAAACAAGUGCUGUUGCAACCCAUGAAUAUGUGCAAAUCUCCAAGUCAAGACUAUACUACAGUGGGCCAAGAACUCUGUCAAAAGCAAUGAGAAUAAGAUUAUCUGGGCUCAGAAAAAGCAGAACAUCCUGGCUUUCUGGUUUACAACAUUUUUUUCACAUUUUGUUUAGCACAAUUCUCACUACUAUAAAGUUUGACUUUAGGAAGUCACUGCAAAUCUUAAAAGUCUUAGACGUGGUUGUCCACAAUGGUGGGUUGCUGAAAGUUUUUUCUGCCACCAUUGUUCAAAGUAUUUCUAAAAUCGAUAGUCAUUUAAACACUUGGCGUUCAGACUUAUAGUGGUAACACCAAUACUGCACUUGCUCCCUAUGCAGGGUAUAGGUGUUCAGCACUAGGCCACUGAAUCUGCCUAGGACCACCCUGCUGCAAAGGCUCUUAUAUUAUUUAAGAUGAAGAGAACAAGAAAAUGUGAGUGACCAGAAUAGACACCCAUUUCAUUUUUUGUUCUAAAAACCAUACUGAGAUUAUAACACUGCUUCCCAUUGUAAAAGCACUGUUAUUUGAGAUUGUUUUUGUUUCUUGUCUCUCUGUGGGUGAGCAAGAAAGCUAACAUAAUCUUGUUUAUUUGUGGAUUACAGUGAGUUUAUCCUGAUUUCAUAUACAGAUGUUUUCUACAGCUUAACUUAUAUAGGCAUCAGUCUGUGUGAGGAGAGUAGGAAUGAAAGGAGGAGUCAUCUCACUCUGCUCUUCCUCCCCUCUAUCUCCUCUCCCCACACACACCUUUUCUUAGUCCUUUGUCAUCAAUGAAUUUGGUGGGGGGGAGAAAGGGGGAGGAAUCUAGAUUGGGCACCAUGUUUGGGAGUUGAACUGUGAAGGGUAAAUCCUCACUGUCUUGAUCUCAAACUAGGAGUAUAAGUAGCAUUUUAUAUUUUUAUCUAACUUGGAAGAAAGGAUUAAAUCAUUCCUCUGGCAAUAACUUGAGAUUUGUUUUUUAAAUAUCAAAUAUCAGUUUGAAUCUCCAGGUUUAAUGGGAAUAUGUCU